Sipha flava (yellow sugarcane aphid) is the source of this 1324-nucleotide RNA transcript. It is a transcript of the gene named tyrosine-protein kinase Src42A-like, with no coding region annotated. The record is from RefSeq and is a predicted model, not a curated record. NCBI's taxonomy places the organism in Eukaryota, Metazoa, Arthropoda, Insecta, Hemiptera, Aphididae. The transcript has 4 exons.
UAAUCGAAUAACGAAUACUCGAAAAAUGUAUGUCAUGCCAAGUCAAAUUAAUUAUUAUCAGUUUCAACAGUGUUAAUUUAUUAAGAAAAAAAAAAUUUUAAUUCAAGAAACUAACUAUUUAUCCCGCAGUGCUGGUUAAACCGCUUAACCCGCGUAUUUUCAAAAAGUAUUAUUGAAUAAACUUUACAAAUAUCCCUGGCUAUACCAUUCCUGCUAUUUUCACGAAUAACCAUUAUAAAUCUCGUUCUCCGUUAGCGGACGGCUGAAGUAUGACAGAGUGGCGGAAACAUACGCGACAUUUUAUGCAAAUUUAAAACUCAAUUCCGAUAUUAAUGGUCCGAUUAGACCGAGACUUCUAAAUCGGAUUUCAAAUCAUUAAAUAAUCAUAAAUGAAUAACGCAUUGAAGUCCGUAGGACGAGUAUUUAUCGAGAUAAAUAAAAAGUUUUAAAAACUAACUGUAGAUAAAUAUGAUUAUCCAGGUUAUCUAACGGCAGCGAAGAACAUCGCCCGCCAAGAAAACUUGGUCCGGGCUUUCGACUUUUGUUAUCAUUACCUACUUUUUAAAAUUAGAUACCUGUAUCAAUUAUCAUUUAUUGUUUUCUAUGUCUUUCUGUGUUAAACAACAACUUUCAUUUAUACUGUUUUUUUUUUUUUUUUUAAAGUAAUUUCUAUUAUGGGCAGCUUCUUCAGUUGUUUCAAGCUGUCUCCCAACGGUGACAACAGCAAAGAAAUAUUCAACGAAUGUAUCGAGGCCGAACCUUGGUAUUUUGCAAAAUUAAAAGAUACGAUGCCGAGAAACUACUGCUUUUGCCAAUCAAUGAUCACGGAGCAUUUUUAAUUAGAGAUUCUGAAAGUACAAGGCAUAAUUACUCUUUGUCUGUUCGCCAUGGUAAUACUGUUAAUCAUUAUCGAAUCAAACGAUUAGAUGGACGUGGAUUCCUCAUUGUUCGGCAUACCUUUAGAACUCUAUAUGAAUUUGUAGAGUACCAUAUGUACUUAUGUAAGCCUUGUGUACGGGGUUGAAAUCAGUAACUGGUGGUUUGUCCAUGGAAAGAAAAUAAGACAUGGAUAGUUUGGUGAAGUUUGGACUGGUAAAUUUAAAUUAUAUUUAACAUAACAAGUACUAACUAAGUUUAGAUAUGGGACUUGGUUUAAAACUCCAACAUAUGGCAGUUCUGAACCUUAAACCUCAAAAUUAUAUUAAUUGUGAUCUGGCUGCUCUUGUUUGAGUGAAUAAUUUUGUAAAAAUUGAAUAUUUUUGCUCAUUUAUGGGUUUUACAGUACUAAUAACUGUAAAGUAUGUUGUAAAAUAUUAGAUAUAUU